RNAcentral lists this ribosomal RNA (440 nucleotides) under uncultured bacterium. RNAcentral describes it as "partial 16S ribosomal RNA". It matches the Rfam family "Bacterial small subunit ribosomal RNA", at positions 338 to 795 of the family's 1533-position model. The record is from RNAcentral.
CCUACGGGUGGCAGCAGUGGGGGAUAUUGCACAAUGGGGGAAACCCUGAUGCAGCGACGCCGCGUGAGGGAAGACGGUCCUCUGGAUUGUAAACCACUGUCCCCAGGGACGAAGAUGACGGUACCUGGGGAGGAAGCUCCGGCCAACUACGUGCCAGCAGCCGCGGUAAUACGUAGGGAGCGAGCGUUGUCCGGAAUUACUGGGUGUAAGGGGAGCGUAGGCGGGACUGCAAGUUGGGUGUCAAAUCUACCGGCUCAACCGGUAGCCGCACUCAAAACUGCAGUUCUUGAGUGAAGUAGAGGCAGGCGGAAUUCCUAGUGUAGCGGUGAAAUGCGUAGAUAUUAGGAGGAACACCAGUGGCGAAGGCGGCCUGCUGGGCUUUUACUGACGCUGAGGCUCGAAAGUGUGGGGAGCAAACAGGAUUAGAUACCCCAGUAGUC